CUAGAUUUUCAUGAGCACCACAACCUGAAUCUCAAUAUGAUAGCCCAAUCUGUGGUGUUACUGAUCACGGUCAGGCCAGACUCUCUUUGAAUACUAAUAUCAAGAGGAUCACCAUGACAUCUGCCUACUGUAGGCAACGAUGAUCAACCAUAAAGUUGCACGCAAUAAUUACAUAAGCAUCGAAAAGCCUGUCUCUGACAGACUCUGAGAGGAAAGGGAUGACUACAUUUAGAACUGUAAUCUCAGAUGCCUGGACUGUCCCAUCCAGGCAAGAAAUAGAAACUUGGAGAGGAGGCACAGAAGCUCAGACGGUGAAACGAGAACUCAUUCAACUAAGUGAGCAAACCAACCUCUGAGCAACACACUAGAAUCCGAAUCAACUGGAGCCCUCAAGUCACUGCCUGACAAGAGCUUAAUGGAGAUGAUGUCAAGAUAGAAAAAAAUUGGAUUUUAGCCUCACCUGCCAUGCAACCCCAGAAGGCCAGAAGAUUAUCUAGACUCUCUUAUGGGCGCCUCACAGCCCAGACAAGUCUCUGAUGAUGUACACAGACCUCAACCCAGUUUGCAUUGUCAGAAAGAACGUUCCUCUCUUCUCGUUCUGUCCAAUGCUGUCUUUGAAAUUCUUCUCAUUUGCUGUGUUUCCAGCCCUCUGCUUCCUGUCGGCAGUUUUUUGCUUUUUGUCCUUUCGGGCUCUGCUGCUUAUAUGCACCUUUGAUUCUCAAUCUUUUCGCUCCUGUGUAGCUUGAAGAGUCACAGCACAAUGCGAUAAAGGAUAAACAGAGUAUAUUGGCUGGCUACAAUGGAAGAGGGAUUCUUUAAAGUUCUAUUAAAACCUAGUUCCUUCUACCAC
Molecule: long non-coding RNA, 850 nt
Organism: Cavia porcellus (domestic guinea pig)
Lineage: Eukaryota; Metazoa; Chordata; Mammalia; Rodentia; Caviidae
Exons: 2
Source: RefSeq, a predicted model, not a curated record